RNAcentral lists this long non-coding RNA (619 nucleotides) under Gallus gallus (chicken). RNAcentral describes it as "lncRNA (ENSGALG00010012507.1)". Lineage: Eukaryota; Metazoa; Chordata; Aves; Galliformes; Phasianidae. The record is from RNAcentral.
GGAGGGAACCCUGCUGAAGGCUGCCUUUGUGCUCAUCAGGUAUUUUAGUAGAACUGUAGUUUGAGCCAUUCAGAUUAGUCUUAAAAGCCAUCCACAGCGUUUGGAGAAUUCCUUUCUGUCAGCACAUGCCAGCGGACACGAGGUAGCCAUGGUAUGGAGGACAGUCUGACUAACCCUAUGUGACCCUUCCAACCUGGAUGGACCUUCAUCUAUCAAGUUCCACAUCCUUGUACCUUGUAUAAAGACACCUUGGAGGGUGAGAGGCCCUGAUCAACACCUUGGUCACUGCACAAGUACAGAGGAAGGAUCAGUCACAGACAGCAGGCAAAUCUUAACACCGCUGGAAAAGGGAUACCGAGCAACCUUGUUUGGCCAGCAUUGCAGGAGCAGAAAGUCUACAGUGACAGAGGCAAUGGAGUCUCCUGAGACUUGCAAAAACUGGUCACUGCUGUGUGUAGGUGUGCAUUUAAUUGCACCCUGAGGUAUCAGCCUUCUUCCAACAGAGGUCUGGGCUCUCCUCAGUACCAAAAUGGGCCUCUUACAGUCAGCUGGCAUAUCUGUUCUCUAGCCCGCUUCAGGGUUGCUCUUAAGUUACACUGAGGCUGAAAUUGGAGGGACG